UGCAAUCUAUGAUGAAAUAUGUCCUUAAUAAUCUGAUUAACAUGUGAUUAUUAUUUAAACAUAUCACCAUCUUUCGGCUGAGAUUGCA
Molecule: small nucleolar RNA, 88 nt
Organism: Lotus japonicus
Lineage: Eukaryota; Viridiplantae; Streptophyta; Magnoliopsida; Fabales; Fabaceae
Source: RefSeq, a predicted model, not a curated record